This 1487-nucleotide long non-coding RNA is filed under the name Olea europaea subsp. europaea. Lineage: Eukaryota; Viridiplantae; Streptophyta; Magnoliopsida; Lamiales; Oleaceae. The record is from RNAcentral.
UUCAUAUUGUGUCAGUAACUUUCUUGAUUUUUUGAACAAGUGGCAUCGGGGCUAUUGAUUAUAGAUUUUGUUUGAGGUUUCUAUUAUCGAUGGUAGCCAUGAAGUAUGAUAUUCCAUUUUUUAUCACAAUACAAGAUUUUCAUUGUGGCAAAUAAAGAUGAGAGUAGUGUUAUUGAGGAUGGACUUGGAUGAUGCAUUGUUGGGGUUUGAUAAGAUGCCCACAACUUGGACAAUAGAGGAGAAGCAACAGAGGGAUCUAAAAGUUUUUUCGUAGAUACAUCUUCAUUUUUCUAACAACAUUCUUCAUGACGUAUUGAAGGAGAAGACGACUACUGCAUUAUGGUUAAAUUGGAGCAACUGUGCAUGACGAAGAGUUUGACAAGCAAGUUGCAUAUGAAGCAGAGGCUAUAUUAUCAUUAUAUGGCAGAAAAAGGAUCUUUUGGAGUCGUGUUCAAGGAAAUCGUUGUUGAUCUGGAUACGUUAGAGGUUAAUUAUGAUGAAGAUGACUUGGCCUUGAUCCUGUUGUGCUUACUGCUCACUACGUAUUCGUCGUUUAGGGACACGAUUCCAUCUAGUUGUGACACACUCACCAUUGAUGACGUUUAUGAUGCUUUAUUCUCAAAGGAGGAGAUAAAACAUUUCGUUGGAGCUGGAUCUAGAGAUUAGGAAACUCUGGUUACUUAUGGUGAUCGACGGAAGGAUAAGUCGAGGGUAAACUUCAGCAAUCAGAUUUGCUUCUAUUGUAGGAGAAAAUAACACAUCAAAAAGGAUUAUGAUGAGUUGCAGAGUAAAGGUAAUUCAGCUACAAAUCGUGUGAGGCAAUCAGAUCAUUCGGACGAUAUAAACAUUGUCAAUGACUUUCGGAUGGCGGAUAUGUGAUGUUGACUGUAUCUGACAUGGAAUCCAAGCUUGAUGAGGAGUAUAUUUUGGAUUUAGCGUGUUCAUUCCAUAUGUAUUCCAAUAGGGCCUGGUUUGAAACAUAAGAAAUGGUGAAGCAAUGUGUUGUUGUCAUGGAAAACAACAAAUCUUGUAAGGUAGCUAGAAUUGGGAGAGUCAGAUUGAGGUUGUUUAAUGGAAAAAUUAUUCAUACCUUCUUAGAAAACAUGCGUAGGUACAGAAUCGAGUUUAAACCAAAAAUACUCAACGUACAAAAUCAAGAUUUUUCUUAAACUCAAAACAGAAAAUAAAGAACAUGAGAUAUUUUUCGACCAAAGGCCCUAGAGGUUCAAUGACUGCUUCUAAUGCUUGGUCCCCCAUUGAGCACCCAUAAAGCAUUAAGCUCGAAACCACUAAAUCGGCCAAAAUAGGCAAAAAUCAAGUUACAGAACACUGAGUUCCCAUGUCUCAAAUACAACACGAUAUUCCCACAGAAGAAACUCCCAAAAGAGUUUCUUUACAAAUUCUCUCAAAAAUCACACUAAGUAUUUUCAAAGAAAUUACAAAAUUAGAACGGAGAAGAUGAAAAGGCACGCAGCUAAGAAAACUUU